This 253-nucleotide ribosomal RNA is filed under the name uncultured bacterium. RNAcentral's name for it is "partial 16S ribosomal RNA". It matches the Rfam family "Bacterial small subunit ribosomal RNA", at positions 524 to 776 of the family's 1533-position model. The record is from RNAcentral.
UACGUAGGGGGCGAGCGUUGUCCGGAUUUAUUGGGCGUAAAGAGCGUGUAGGCGGCCAGGUAGGUCUGCUGUGAAAACUCGAGGCUCAACCUCGAGACGUCGGCGGAAACCAUCUGGCUAGAGUCCGGAAGAGGAGAGUGGAAUUCCUGGUGUAGCAGUGAAAUGCGUAGAUAUGCGGAGGAACACCGAUGGCGAAGGCAAUCCCCUGGGCCUGCACUGACGCUCAUGCACGAAAGCGUGGGGAGCAAACAGG